ACACACACACACACACACACACACACACACACACACACACACACACACACACACACUCACUGUGUGUCAGUGCACAGGAAUGUUACACACACACACAUUUCUGUAAGAAAAUCCUACAACACUCCAAAUUCCGACAUGUUUCAAUGAAAUUGUGGUUUUAUCCUGCAACAAGACGACGAUCUGAAACAUGCAGCAAAGUGAGUGUGAAUACAAUAUAAACUAUAAUCUAUCAAAUAUAAACUAUAAUCCAUACACUCUAAGAUUAAGAUUUUCUCAAUUGUAUGGAAAUUAGGUAUGACGCUGUAAAGUGACCAUCUCGAAUGAUUCCUUGGACCUGCAAUUAGUUUUACUGUUUACAUUGAAAGAGAAACUUUUAACCCUGGUUUCAUCUAAUCCUGUCAUAUCAAACAAUCACAUCAAAUGUGUAUAGAGAUGUUAGGAAGACAAAUAAAGCUUGGAAGGAAGUAGAAGAGAUCGUUGGUGUGUCUGUGAGAGUAUGUAGCUAGUGUAGUUAGCAUGUUUUGCUAAUCUAAUCUGAGAACAAAGAUGAGCAUGAAACCCAGCUAUAUUACAACCAAAAGAGGUCAACAGGCCACUCCCACAAUCUACAGUAGCGGUCGUUACACACCCACAAGAGACUUCUUGCCUGCCUUCAGAUCUGAAACGGGGUGCAUAAACUUUUGAACACAUGUACAUAUCAACUAUCAUAUCAUAUAAUUUUUUAUUCUUAAUAUCUCAACCAUUUCGUUACAUUUGAUAACACAAAUAUGUCUUCCUUCUACAAACAUCAUCUCUUUGUCUUUAUCAUUUUGUCUUAAGGGUGUACAAACUUUUGCACACAUUUGUACACACACACACACACACACACACACAGAUUUGUUGCUUCUGAGCUUUCAUGGAAGAAUUCAUGUUAAUUUAUGUGAUUUUUUAUAUGUUGCCUCUUGACAGUGGUGUGUAUUAGUAAUAAUUAUUAAGAACAUCUGCAAUGCUGAAUAGUUUUGAUGUGUGUGUGUGUGUGUGUGUGUGUGUGUGUGAUCAUAAGCAAUGUUUUGAAAUUAUUCAUCGCGUGAUUAAUAGCGUUCAUCUGUUGUUUUCUUGAAUGUGGUGUCAUCCUGUGAAGAUGAUGAUGAUGAUUUACUUCUUGGUUUCUGAAUACACAUGCGAGUGUGUGUGAGUGUGUGUGAGUGUGUGUGAGUGUGUGUGAGUGUGUUUUAAAUGGGAAAUGAAAUAACACAUACACAUACACGCAAAGUGAUUCCAAAACUAAUAAACUGUGUGUGAAUGUUUCAGUUAAGCAGGCUGCUCACCCGACAAACACACACACACACACACACACGCACACACACACACCACAGACACGUAACAGUAUCUUCGUGAGUUUUGUCGGUGUUAUAGUAAUGCUAAUAAUGCCAUGUUUGACCGCUAUGCUACGGUUACUUUACUCUAAUCACAUGCAAAUCUUUCCGAUGCAGGAAAAGAAGCCUUUAUUGAGACAAUACAAACGAUACAAUACAAUACAAUACAAACAAUACAAACAAUACAAUACAAACAAUACAAUACAAACAAUACAAUACAAACAAUACAAACAAUACAAUACAAACAAUACAAACAAUACAAUACAAUACAAACAAUACAAACAAUACAAUACAAUACAAACAAUACAAACAAUACAAUACGAACAAUACAAACAAUACAAUACAAACAAUACAAUACAAACAAUACAAACAAUACAAUACAAUACAAACAAUACAAUACAAACAAUACAAUACAAUACGAACAAUACAAUACAAACAAUAC
Molecule: long non-coding RNA, 1797 nt
Organism: Ictalurus punctatus (channel catfish)
Lineage: Eukaryota; Metazoa; Chordata; Actinopteri; Siluriformes; Ictaluridae
Source: Ensembl